Molecule: long non-coding RNA, 101 nt
Organism: Xenopus laevis (African clawed frog)
Lineage: Eukaryota; Metazoa; Chordata; Amphibia; Anura; Pipidae
Exons: 3
Source: RefSeq, a predicted model, not a curated record
CACGAAAUGGUGGUUCAAGGCAAGAGAUGUCAUUUGCUCUGUCUUUACUACUACAUUCUACGGGGGAAAUUUACUAAAGGGCGUGCGAUCAAUAUAAAUCC